This 774-nucleotide unclassified non-coding RNA is filed under the name Hevea brasiliensis (rubber tree). Lineage: Eukaryota; Viridiplantae; Streptophyta; Magnoliopsida; Malpighiales; Euphorbiaceae. The record is from RNAcentral.
CUCUCUCUCUCUCUCUCUCUCUCGUUUUUCUGUUUUCCUUGGAUAUUGGAGGGGGCAUGGGAUCCUUGUAUACUUUUUCAAGUUUUGGCCUGUAUUAUACUUAGGAUUGUUAUUUGUUGUUGGGUUUACAUCUGAGUUCUGAAGGAUUUUGAAGACAUGGAUGACGAAUAUGCUAAGCUUAUUAGAAGGAUGAACCCACCAAGGUACAUCCUUUCUUCCGGAGUAAAAUUUUUGUAGUUGUGUUCUGGGUUUCUGGGUCUGCUUGUGAAUGUUGCGUUUGAGGUCUUUUUUGCUUUUGUUUUGAUGGGUUAUGUUUUUUCGCAUUUCUUGGUGUUGGGUGUAUAAUCUUGGAGGGUCUAUGGAGUAUGAAUUGUAUCCUUUGCUUGGAGAUGGAUUUAGAGAAAGUUUUGCAUUCUUUCCUUAUUUUUUUUUUUAAGUUUACUCUGCUUGAUAGUCUUUUUCAUUGCUUUGAUUUUCAGUAUUUUGGCUGGUUUAUUGCUGAGAAAUCUAGAGUAAAAGAGAAGAAAAUUUAAUGAAAUAAACUAAUCUUAAGUAUUUAAUGAAUUUCUUGAAUUAGAAUUUGAAACUAAAUCCACUCAAGUUAAAGUAGCAUAUUUUCUGAUGGUUGGUGAGCAGAAAAUAAGCUACUUUAACUUGCUUUUCGUUUCUUUUUGGCUUCCAUCUUCCCCCAAUUUUCUUGGCAACCCAACAGAGCCUCCUGAUUCCUAACCCUUUCUUCAAAUUAAGGAUCAUAGGUUGGCCUACUCUCUCUCU